This 109-nucleotide ribosomal RNA is filed under the name Acinetobacter baumannii. Lineage: Bacteria; Pseudomonadati; Pseudomonadota; Gammaproteobacteria; Moraxellales; Moraxellaceae. The record is from RNAcentral.
AUACCACUUUGAGCACGCCCGAUCUCGUCUGAUCUCGGAAGCUAAGCAGGGUCGGGCCUGGUUAGUACUUGGAUGGGAGACCGCCUGGGAAUACCAGGUGCUGUCAGCU